Molecule: transfer RNA, 83 nt
Filed under: Tulasnella sp. JGI-2019a
Lineage: Eukaryota; Fungi; Basidiomycota; Agaricomycetes; Cantharellales; Tulasnellaceae
Rfam family: tRNA
About the family: Transfer RNA (tRNA) molecules are approximately 80 nucleotides in length.
Source: Rfam by way of RNAcentral
GCCUGGCUAGCUCAAUCGGUAGAGCGUGAGACUCUUAAAAUAGUCCAAUCUCAAGGUUGUGGGUUCGACCCCCACGUUAGGCU